AUUGAACGCUGGCGGCAUGCCUUACACAUGCAAGUCGAACGGUAACGGGUCCUUCGGGAUGCCGACGAGUGGCGAACGGGUGAGUAAUAUAUCGGAACGUGCCCAGUAGUGGGGGAUAACUGCUCGAAAGAGCAGCUAAUACCGCAUACGACCUGAGGGUGAAAGGGGGGGAUCGCAAGACCUCUCGCUAUUGGAGCGGCCGAUAUCAGAUUAGCUAGUUGGUGGGGUAAAGGCCUACCAAGGCAACGAUCUGUAGUUGGUCUGAGAGGACGACCAGCCACACUGGGACUGAGACACGGCCCAGACUCCUACGGGAGGCAGCAGUGGGGAAUUUUGGACAAUGGGCGCAAGCCUGAUCCAGCAAUGCCGCGUGCAGGAAGAAGGCCUUCGGGUUGUAAACUGCUUUUGUCAGGGAAGAAAUCUUCUGGGCUAAUACCCCGGGAGGAUGACGGUACCUGAAGAACAAGCACCGGCUAACUACGUGCCAGCAGCCGCGGUAAUACGUAGGGUGCGAGCGUUAAUCGGAAUUACUGGGCGUAAAGCGUGCGCAGGCGGCUUUGCAAGACAGAUGUGAAAUCCCCGGGCUCAACCUGGGAGCUGCAUUUGUGACUGCAAGGCUAGAGUACGGCAGAGGGGGAUGGAAUUCCGCGUGUAGCAGUGAAAUGCGUAGAUAUGCGGAGGAACACCAAUGGCGAAGGCAAUCCCCUGGGCCUGUACUGACGCUCAUGCACGAAAGCGUGGGGAGCAAACAGGAUUAGAUACCCUGGUAGUCCACGCCCUAAACGAUGUCAACUGGUUGUUGGACGGCUUGCUGUUCAGUAACGAAGCUAACGCGUGAAGUUGACCGCCUGGGGAGUACGGCCGCAAGGUUGAGACUCAAAGGAAUUGACGGGGACCCGCACAAGCGGUGGAUGAUGUGGUUUAAUUCGAUGCAACGCGAAAAACCUUACCUACCCUUGACAUGUCAAGAAUUCUGCAGAGAUGUGGAAGUGCUCGAAAGAGAACUUGAACACAGGUGCUGCAUGGCCGUCGUCAGCUCGUGUCGUGAGAUGUUGGGUUAAGUCCCGCAACGAGCGCAACCCUUGUCAUUAGUUGCUACGCAAGAGCACUCUAAUGAGACUGCCGGUGACAAACCGGAGGAAGGUGGGGAUGACGUCAGGUCCUCAUGGCCCUUAUGGGUAGGGCUACACACGUCAUACAAUGGCCGGUACAGAGGGCUGCCAACCCGCGAGGGGGAGCCAAUCCCAGAAAACCGGUCGUAGUCCGGAUCGUAGUCUGCAACUCGACUGCGUGAAGUCGGAAUCGCUAGUAAUCGCGGAUCAGCUUGCCGCGGUGAAUACGUUCCCGGGUCU
RNAcentral lists this ribosomal RNA (1352 nucleotides) under uncultured bacterium. RNAcentral describes it as "bacterial SSU rRNA". It matches the Rfam family "Bacterial small subunit ribosomal RNA", at positions 28 to 1381 of the family's 1533-position model. The record is from RNAcentral.